CGUUUCUUUUUAAUUGUUACACUUACACUUUUCACGCAUGCCGAUGCACUACUUUGAGCCUUUAUAUCUCUAAUUUUGUAUUUGUAAAAAAUAUAAAAAUUACAUAUUAAUAAAAUACAUACUAAUCGAAUCUAACAAGAUCCCACAUGACUAUGUUUUUAUUCAUGUAUAAAUCACAAACGAGGGUCAAAGUGCAAUUUGUGAAUAGUGUAAAAUGUCAAAGUGUAACAAUUAAAAAGAAACGGAGGUAGUAUAUAGCAGGGAACUGAACAUUAAUCCACGAAAGGUAUACGUACUGUAGUAGAAAUUUCAUAGUCAUUGCGAUUCCUUCGUUAAAGUUUAGGUCAAAUUGAUUGUGUGGAAGGUUUUGGAAUUAGUUUGGUUAUGUCAUCAUCGUCUAAUUUGAGGAGUAUGGUGAUAGACAUCGGGAGGUGAAUUUAGUUUUUCUUGUAAUUUGUUGUUCGUAUCGAUUAGUGGGAUUCAUUGUGCAUUGUUGAUUAUGGUUUUAUGUCUAAUUUUGGUGUUGAUUUUGGUGUAGAUUUGUUGAAAACUUAAAAGUUACCUUAUAUCAAGUUUUUUUAUUAGUUUCCAAA
Beta vulgaris subsp. vulgaris (sugar beet) is the source of this 593-nucleotide long non-coding RNA. RefSeq lists it as uncharacterized. NCBI's taxonomy places the organism in Eukaryota, Viridiplantae, Streptophyta, Magnoliopsida, Caryophyllales, Amaranthaceae. The transcript is spliced from 2 exons. The record is from RefSeq and is a predicted model, not a curated record.